Molecule: ribosomal RNA, 465 nt
Filed under: Vreelandella stevensii
Lineage: Bacteria; Pseudomonadati; Pseudomonadota; Gammaproteobacteria; Oceanospirillales; Halomonadaceae
Description: partial 16S ribosomal RNA
Rfam family: Bacterial small subunit ribosomal RNA
Source: RNAcentral
CCUACGGGAGGCAGCAGUGGGGAAUAUUGGACAAUGGGGGCAACCCUGAUCCAGCCAUGCCGCGUGUGUGAAGAAGGCCCUCGGGUUGUAAAGCACUUUCAGUGAGGAAGAACGCCUGGUGGUUAAUACCCAUCAGGAAAGACAUCACUCACAGAAGAAGCACCGGCUAACUCCGUGCCAGCAGCCGCGGUAAUACGGAGGGUGCGAGCGUUAAUCGGAAUUACUGGGCGUAAAGCGCGCGUAGGUGGCUUGAUAAGCCGGUUGUGAAAGCCCCGGGCUCAACCUGGGAACGGCAUCCGGAACUGUCAAGCUAGAGUGCAGGAGAGGAAGGUAGAAUUCCCGGUGUAGCGGUGAAAUGCGUAGAGAUCGGGAGGAAUACCAGUGGCGAAGGCGACCUUCUGGACUGACACUGACACUGAGGUGCGAAAGCGUGGGUAGCAAACAGGAUUAGAUACCCUUGUAGUC